Long non-coding RNA from Cervus elaphus (red deer), 547 nucleotides. RefSeq lists it as uncharacterized. Lineage: Eukaryota; Metazoa; Chordata; Mammalia; Artiodactyla; Cervidae. The record is from RefSeq and is a predicted model, not a curated record. The transcript has 4 exons.
GCUUCUGGUUGUCAAUCCUGGCUGCCCACUAGAGUCACCUGGGAAACCUGUAAAGCCCAACAAUCAAGCCACACCUGACACCAAUGCAAUGAAGCUCUUUGGAAGUGGGUGGGGCCCAGGGUCCCGAGGCUUUAAAGCCCCCCUGUGAUUGCACUGUGUGGCCAGCUGGGGGAGCUCUUGCACGGAGUGGGCGGAAGGCUUGGAAUGCUCGCUCAUCCCAUACGCUUCCUGCAGAUCCUCAAGCCUUCUAGAAGAGUGCAUCGUAAAGCCUAGGCACCUCUUCAGGUCCUGUUCGGUCUUCUCCGGCAGCGUCUUGUCGCUGCUCCGCUGGCCAUGACCCUCACGUCCACAUGCUCUCGUGUCUUCUGGGCGCUUCUGCCUGCCCCUGCAUGCAGCUCCGGAGCAGCCGCUGCGACGCCGUUCCCCGCGGCAGCUGUGUCUGCACCGGAGCGGGCAGCGCCUCCAGGCGAGGCAAGAGAACAGACUGGAGAACCGAUUUUCAGUUUCCCUGUCCAUUCUGAAGAGCAAGCCUGGUGGUUGAUUGUCU